AGAAGGGAGAUCUGGCCCCCGGUCUUGGAUUCUGAGAUCAGUGCGAGAUCCCGGCUCUGCGCCCUGUCCGCCCUGGAACUGGAUUUAUCAUCAGUUUAGAAUAGCAUGGCUACGAUGUGUGGUGUGGAUGGAUGGACGAGCCCCGCAAGUACAUGAACUAAACAAGCUUCUCUCUUUUUUUUUGCCUUUGAUCUUUGUGCAAUCUGUUGGCUUCUCUUUUCCUCUAACAAUGUCACUUGUGUUUUAUUUUUGGUCUAUUUUUAAACUGUCUUCCUCCUUAA
RNAcentral lists this long non-coding RNA (281 nucleotides) under Rattus norvegicus (Norway rat). RNAcentral describes it as "long non-coding RNA NONRATT008346". Lineage: Eukaryota; Metazoa; Chordata; Mammalia; Rodentia; Muridae. The record is from RNAcentral.